CACACAGAAUAACAUAAGCUUAGCUUGCUAUUUAUACACGAAUUCAAAACAAGAUAAUUCAACCUUCAAGUGUGAAGGCGGCUGGCGGCCAAUGGUGUGAAGGCGGCUGGCGGCUGCGGCUGGUGGCUGGCGGCUGGUCGGUCACAGCUGGUGGCUGGCUGGCCGGUGGUUGCCUUCCUUGACCUUCUAGAUUGAUUGAGUUUAAUACAACAAAUCUCCCCUUUAAACUCAAUCGAGGGAUGUCAUGCCAAACAUGAACUUCAUUCUGAUAAAUGUUUCCCUCUUCAAUGGCUUUGUAUUUUUGCACUUUUUCUUUUGCAUUCUUCUUUGUCUUAUAGACCCAUUUGACACCUAUUGCUUUCUUGCUUUCUGGUGGAUAAGUCAGCUUCCAGGUAUCAUUCUUCUCAAUGGCAUGCAUUUCUUCAUCCAUUGCUUCUAUCUUCUCUUCUGUGAUAGCUUUGUUGAAGCUAAGUGGGUCAUUAUCUGCAAAGAAACAAAAUAGAGUUGUAUCUUCGAUGACUUGCGUGGCAUCGUACAACUCGUCAAGAUUUCUCAUCCUUCUUGGUCCUUCUGACGAUGAGGAUGUUGCUGCUGGUGUUGAUGAUGAUGCUCCUGGUGUGUUCCUCCUGUUGAAUACAGGGAAUCUGUGUAUCGGACUUUGUGGUUCAGCUGCUGGCACAAUCGGUUCUUCGACAAGUACUGUUGGUACUUCUUCACCUUCAAGGAUCAAAUCAAUGUUGAUCCAUCUGACUGCUUCUUUAUUAUCAGUCCAUUCCCAAGAUUUAUCUUCUUCAAAGAUAACAUCUCUACUCAUGAUUACCUUCUUCGUGAUGGGAUUAUACAGCUUGUAUCCCAUCCUUCUUUCACCAUAUCCGACAAAGAUGCAUCUCUCGCUUUUAUCAUCGAGUUUUCUCCUUCUUGCAUCUGGGAUCUUUGCAUAUGCCACACAACCAAAGACUCGUAGAUGAGUAACACUUGGUUUGUGACCACUCCAUGCUUCUUCUGGAAUGACUCCUUGCAAACUUCUGGUUGGGCAGCGAUUCAGUAGAUACACUGCACAUGAUACAGCUUCAGCCCAGUAUUGCUUGGGCAACUUCUUUGCUUUGAGCAGACUUCUUGCCAUGUCAAGAAUCGUGCGAUUCUUCCUUUCAGCUACACCAUUCAGCUGUGGUGUAUAAGCUGGUGUUGUCUGAUGUCUGAUGCCUUGUUGUGUACAAUAGGCUUCAAAGUCAUUUGCUGUAUAUUCUCCACCUUGAUCAGAUCUCACGGUUCUGAUCAUGUAGCCACUUUGCUUCUCCACAAUUGCUUUAAAAUCUUUAAAACAAUUGAAUACUUCUGACUUCCUCUUCAGAAAGUAUAUCCACGUCUUUCUACUAAAAUCAUCAAUAAAAGUGAGGAAGUACCUAUUCUGUCCAGUCGACAUAGGCGUAAUUGGGCCACACACAUCUGUGUGUACUAACUCCAGUGGCCUCUUUGCUUUCCAGUUGACUUCUUUGGCAAAACUGGAUCUGUGAUGUUUGCUGAGGACACAACUUUCACAGACUUCAUCUGGAUGAUCAAUGUGAGGCAAACCUCUGACCAUCUUCUUGCUUGCUAGCAUCUUCAGACUUGUGAAAUUCAGAUGUCCAAGCCUCAGGUGCCAAAGCCAUUCUUCACUGUUGGUGAUGGCACUCAAACACCUUGCUGCAUCAUACUGGAUGUUCAAAGGAAACAUCCUAUUCUUGGACAUUUUCACAUAGGCCAUUAAUCUCCAAUUGUUGUCUCUAAUUGUCAGAUGACAAUUCUUCGAGUAAAAAGUAUAUCCUCUCUCCAAAAGUUGACCUAAGCUGAUCAGGUUCUGCUUUAUGGCUGGGACAUAAUAAACAUUGGCGAUGUAGCUGGAAUCGCCGUUCUUCAACUUGAUUGGGAUGCUGCCUUUACCUUUGAAUGGAACCUUUGUGGUAUCUCCAAAAGUAACUAGACCUUGCUUGGUCUCAUCUAGAUCACUAAAUAACUCUCGGUAGCCGCACAUGUGAUUGCUGGCUCCAGUAUCUAGAUACCAUAUAUUUUCCUGUUUCUCGCCAAGUUCUUGUUGGACAAGAAAUGCAGCUUCUUCUCUGUCAUCCUUCUCUGCAUAGUUGGCUUGCUCACGUAUCUCCAACGGAGCUUUCCUUCUGCAUUCAGUGCUAUAGUGCCCAAAUUGAUUGCAACUAUAACAUUGGAUAUUCCUCUUGUCACGGUUAUUGUAACCGCCUCCUCUUCCUCUAGGAGUGAAUGCUUGUUGUCCUCGACCUCCUCUGGUGGUGUUUCUACCACCUCUUCCUCUAAAGCUUGUAUUCCAAGAACCUCUUCCUUGGAAUCUCUGGAAUCCUCCUCUGGAUUGUUGACUUCCUGCUUGAGUGGUAUAUCCACUUGUUGAAGUCUCCCCUUGCUCAUAUCUCUCUUUGAGCGACAACUUUGCUUGUAAGGCAUGCUCAAUUGCCUUAUCUUCAUUUCGCUUUACAAUCUUCUGCUCAUGAGCUUGCAAAGAACUCAUAAGUUCAUCCACUGUCAACUUGUCCACUUCUUUGGACUCUUCAAUAGCGACAACAACAAAAUCAAAUUUUGGAUCUAGGGAUCGCAAAAUUUUCUCAGUAAUUCGAGAAUCUAUGAUGGCUUCUCCAUUUCUCCUCAUCUGAUUGACUAUCACCAUAAUCCUUGUGUGAUAAUCAGAAAUAGAUUCCGAGGACUUCAUUUGCAAUAACUCAAAUUCACCUCGCAAAGAUUGAAGACGAAUCUUCUUGAUUCUGUCAGCACCUUUGUAUUUUUGUUGGAGAGCCUCCCAUAUGUCUUUUGAUGUUUCAGCGGAAGCAAUGAUCUCGAACGUAUCUUCAUCAAGACCUUGAUAGAUGAUCGUCUUUGCUUUGUUGUCCUUCUUUCUGUUGACUUUCAGGGCUUGCUUAUGUGCCUCUUGUAAAGCAUCUUCUUCUUCUUUGGACUCUGGUUCAUCAUAACCAUAGUGUACAAUCUCCAAACACUCUUGUGAACCAAGGAAUGCCUUUAAUUUGAUGCACCAACUAUCAUAGUUGUCUUUGGUCAGCUUCGGGAUGAGUGUUUGUGUACCUUCUGUAGUCAUUUUGCUCUUUUAAUGAUUAUAUCUCCUUCUGGGAGUUGAAUUUGGAAAAACAGACACUGUAGAUCGAUCCGGAAUGGUCGAAAUAGUCGGGAACCGGUCUGACUUUGUUGAAAUCAGGUCAGACAAUGGGUGAACCGGUCAAAACACCAAUUCUGGGCGACGGGCGGUUCGCUGGGUUGAACCGGGAAUAUUCUGUGGAAUAUUCUAUCGGCUCGGCUUAGGCUAAUAGCGGCUCGGCUUAGCGGCUAGGCUUGAAAAGGGAAUAUUCUCGGGAAUAUUAUGCGGCUCGGUUGGACGCUUGGAUUGCGGCUCAGCGCGGCGCGGUUAACGGCUCAAAUAUGGCGCGCGUGGACGUCACUCGUCGUCUACCUCUGUAGCGCGUGGGUGCGCGUGGUCCAACAGUUCAGAAUCUUCAGGUGGCGCGUGUUGCUCACCCCGGAGUCCGAUGGAGCUGAUUUUUGCGGCAGUGAGUUUGUAUGGAUGAGCUCUACGCUGUGGAAUGAUCAAAACUUGUUUUUGACAACUUUGAAAAUUCGGAUAUCUCCCAAAACACUUUUGUUUUCUGACGAACGGGGCUCUGAUACCAAUUGUUGGUGGUAGAAACCACUGGUGGUGGCUUUGAAACACUCGGAGGGGAUAAAACACACUGUUUUAUUACAAGAACAAAAGCUUACAAACACAAAAGCUUAAUACAAUACACGCCCUCUCUCUUUCUCUCUAGUGUUUCUCUCUAUUCUCUCCACACAGAAUAACAUAAACUUAGCUUGCUAUUUAUACACGAAUUCAAAACAAGAUAAUUCAACCUUCAAGUGUGAAGGCGGCUGGCGGCCAAUGGUGUGAAGGCGGCUGGCGGCUGCGGCUGGUGGCUGGUCGGUCACAGCUGGUGGCUGGCUGGCCGGUGGUUGCCUUCCUUGACCUUCUAGAUUGAUUGAGUUUAAUACAACAAG
This 4041-nucleotide long non-coding RNA is filed under the name Populus trichocarpa (black cottonwood). Its description in RNAcentral is "long non-coding RNA (PTRI_LNC002048)". Lineage: Eukaryota; Viridiplantae; Streptophyta; Magnoliopsida; Malpighiales; Salicaceae. The record is from RNAcentral.